UACGUAGGUGGCAAGCGUUUUCCGGAAUUAUUGUGCGUAAAGCGCGCGCAGGUGGUUCCUUAAGUCUGAUGUGAAAGCCCACGGCUCAACCGUGGAGGGUCAUUGGAAACUGGGGAACUUGAGUGCAGAAAGGGAAAGUGGAAUUCCACGUGUAGCGGUGAAAUGCGUAGAGAUGUGGAGGAACACCAGUGUCGAAGGCGACUUUCUGGUCUGUAACCGACACUGAGGCGCGAAAGCGUGGGGAGCGAACAGG
This 253-nucleotide unclassified non-coding RNA is filed under the name uncultured Bacillaceae bacterium. RNAcentral describes it as "contains 16S-23S intergenic spacer region". It matches the Rfam family "Bacterial small subunit ribosomal RNA", at positions 524 to 776 of the family's 1533-position model. Lineage: Bacteria; Bacillati; Bacillota; Bacilli; Caryophanales; Bacillaceae. The record is from RNAcentral.